CAGGAAUCCAAAUUAUGGAGCAGCAGGAGUCCUUUUCUGUGUGGCCUUAUGGCUUCCAGAAUUGUAUUUUCAACCAUGAAUUUCUCCUGAUGGUUUAUGUGGCGGGAAGGGUUUGUCAGAGCUGCGAAGGAUGAGUCUUUUCAAUUUCCAGCUGGUAAGAAAUCCAGACUAUUAAAUAUACACAUGAAAAGGUUAGGCCACAUGCCAUUAUCUAAUGAAGUUUUUUUCUUCUAUUUCAGCUGACUGGGAUUUUACAUUUAAGAUUUUAAAUUUUAAAUUUAUUUGUGGUUAAAUUUGAUUGUUUCACCCGAAGGGGGUUUCGGUGAAGAGGAUGCUUGCCGUAGGCUGAAGCUUUGGUUGCGGUGGUGCUCUUUUGAAUUACUGCGCCUGGGGCAACCGCUUUGGCUCACUGAAGGAUGGCUUGCAUGUGCAGCGGUAACUUCUGGCUUGAAGGUUGGUGGCAUUUCUCUUUCCUGGAAGCAAGUGUUAAAUUUAGUUAAAUUUAGUUUCUAUCAUCUAUGUUGGCACUGAUACUUAGGGACUAACCAGUUUUAGGCAAUGCUUGUAAAUCACUCAGAACCAUAUUUGCACGGCCCAGCUCUAUCGUCUGGCAAUGUUAAUUUAGGAUAAGGUGCUAAGCUUAAGCUUUUAUUGCUGAUUUACAAGCUGUACUUUGCAUUGUGUCCAUUUAGAGAAAUAAAACUGUGUGUCACAA
RNAcentral lists this long non-coding RNA (715 nucleotides) under Leguminivora glycinivorella. RNAcentral describes it as "uncharacterized LOC125231431". Lineage: Eukaryota; Metazoa; Arthropoda; Insecta; Lepidoptera; Tortricidae. The record is from RNAcentral.